GACGAACGCUGGCGGCGUGCUUAACACAUGCAAGUCGAACGGAAAGGCCCUGCUUUUGUGGGGUGCUCGAGUGGCGAACGGGUGAGUAACACGUGAGUAACCUGCCCUUGACUUUGGGAUAACUUCAGGAAACUGGGGCUAAUACCGGAUAGGAGCUCCUGCUGCAUGGUGGGGGUUGGAAAGUUUCGGCGGUUGGGGAUGGACUCGCGGCUUAUCAGCUUGUUGGUGGGGUAGUGGCUUACCAAGGCUUUGACGGGUAGCCGGCCUGAGAGGGUGACCGGCCACAUUGGGACUGAGAGACGGCCCAGACUCCAACGGGAGGCAGCAGUGGGGAAUAUUGCACAAUGGGCGGAAGCCUGAUGCAGCAACGCCGCGUGCGGGAUGACGGCCUUCGGGUUGUAAACCGCUUUCGCCUGUGACGAAGCGUGAGUGACGGUAAUGGGUAAAGAAGCACCGGCUAACUACGUG
RNAcentral lists this ribosomal RNA (468 nucleotides) under uncultured bacterium. RNAcentral's name for it is "partial 16S ribosomal RNA". It matches the Rfam family "Bacterial small subunit ribosomal RNA", at positions 28 to 507 of the family's 1533-position model. The record is from RNAcentral.